GACGAACGCUGGCGGCGUGCUUAACACAUGCAAGUCGAACGGAAAGGCCCCUUUGGGGGUACUCGAGUGGCGAACGGGUGAGUAACACGUGAGUAACCUGCCCUUGACUUCGGGAUAACUUCAGGAAACUGGGGCUAAUACCGGAUAGGAAUCCUUGCUGCAUGGUGGGGGUUGGAAAGCUUCGGCGGUUUUGGAUGGACUCGCGGCUUAUCAGCUUGUUGGUGGGGUAGUGGCUUACCAAGGCUUUGACGGGUAGCCGGCCUGAGAGGGCGACCGGCCACAUUGAGACUGAGAUACGGCCCAGACUCCUACGGGAGGCAGCAGUGGGGAAUAUUGCACAAUGGGCGGAAGCCUGAUGCAGCAACGCCGCGUGCGGGAUGACGGCCUUCGGGUUGUAAACCGCUUUCAGCAGGGGCGAAGCUUGUGGUGACGGUACCUGCAGAAGAAGCACCGGCUAACUACGUG
RNAcentral lists this ribosomal RNA (465 nucleotides) under uncultured bacterium. Its description in RNAcentral is "partial 16S ribosomal RNA". It matches the Rfam family "Bacterial small subunit ribosomal RNA", at positions 28 to 507 of the family's 1533-position model. The record is from RNAcentral.